AACCUACGGGAGGCAGCAGUAGGGAAUCUUCCACAAUGGACGAAAGUCUGAUGGAGCAACGCCGCGUGAGUGAAGAAGGGUUUCGGCUCGUAAAGCUCUGUUGGUAGUGAAGAAAGAUAGAGGUAGUAACUGGCCUUUAUUUGACGGUAAUUACUUAGAAAGUCACGGCUAACUACGUGCCGGCAGCCGCGGUAAUACGUAGGUGGCACGCGUUGUCCGGAUUUAUUGGGCGUAAAGCGAGUGCAGGCGG
RNAcentral lists this ribosomal RNA (250 nucleotides) under uncultured bacterium. RNAcentral describes it as "partial 16S ribosomal RNA". It matches the Rfam family "Bacterial small subunit ribosomal RNA", at positions 335 to 578 of the family's 1533-position model. The record is from RNAcentral.